RNA transcript from Lynx canadensis (Canada lynx), 2802 nucleotides. It is a transcript of the gene named cysteinyl-tRNA synthetase 1, with no coding region annotated. The record is from RefSeq and is a predicted model, not a curated record. NCBI's taxonomy places the organism in Eukaryota, Metazoa, Chordata, Mammalia, Carnivora, Felidae. The transcript is spliced from 20 exons.
GGACUUCCGGGGCGCUGGUUGCAUCAGAUUCUGGGAAGCCGGCGCCGCGGCUGCUGGUUUGUAAUUCCUACGAUGUCAGGUUCCUCUGGGGAGCAGGCUCCCGCCUACAGGUCCAUCCUGAGCAUUAGUGACGAGGCAGCCAAGGUGCAGGCCCUGAACGAGCACCUCAGCACGCGUAGCUAUGUCCAGGGGUACUCACUGUCCCAGGCAGACGUGGACGUGUUCAGGCAGCUCUCGGCCCCUCCCGCCGACACGCGCCUCUUCCACGUGGCUCGGUGGUUCAGGCACAUGGAAGCGAUCCUGGGUGGCGCCUGCGGCAGAGGCGAGCCCUGUGGGCGCCAAGCAAGUAAAGGUCGGCGGGGGCAGCCUCAGUGGUCUCCUCCAGCCGGGUCUCCGCCGUGCAAGCUCCGCCUUUACAACAGCCUCACCCGGAACAAGGACGUGUUUAUACCUCAAAACGGGAAGAAGGUGACGUGGUACUGCUGCGGGCCUACCGUCUACGACGCGUCUCACAUGGGGCACGCCAGGUCCUACAUUUCCUUCGACAUCCUGAGGAGAGUGCUGCAGGACUACUUCGGCUUCGACGUGUUCUACUGCAUGAACAUCACGGACAUCGACGACAAGAUCAUCAAGAGGGCCCGGCAGAACUACUUGUUUGAGCAGUACCGGGGGAAGCAGCCGCGGGCGGCCCAGCUCCUGGAGGAUGUUCACGCCGCCCUGAAGCCGUUUUCAGUCAAGUUAAAUGAGACCGCGGACCCGGACAGAAAGCAAAUGCUGGAGCGCACUCAGCGCGCGGUGGAGCUGGCCGCAGAGCCCCUGGAGAGAGCCGUGCGGGGCGGCCUCCCGGCAGAGGAGGCCGCCCGCUGCGCAGAGGUGUUGUUGGAAGAAGCAAAAGAUUUGCUCUCUGACUGGCUGGACUCCACACUGGGCAGCGAAGUCACGGACAAUUCUAUUUUCUCCAAACUGCCCAAGUUCUGGGAAGAAGAAUUCCACAGAGACAUGGAAACCCUGAACGUUCUCCCUCCGGACGUCCUGACCCGGGUGAGUGAAUAUGUGCCGGAGAUCGUGAACUUUGUCCAGAAGAUUGUGGACAACGGCUACGGCUACGUUUCCAAUGGGUCCGUCUACUUCGACACCGUGAAGUUUGCUUCCAGCGAGAGACACUCCUACGGGAAGCUGGUGCCCGAGGCCGUUGGGGACCAGAAAGCCCUGCAGGAAGGGGAAGGUGACCUGAGCGUCUCGGCAGACCGCCUGAGUGAGAAGCGGUCCCCCAAUGACUUCGCUCUGUGGAAAGCCUCCAAGCCCGGCGAGCCAUCCUGGCCGUGCCCGUGGGGAAAGGGGCGUCCGGGAUGGCACAUCGAGUGCUCGGCCAUGGCAAGCGCUCUCCUGGGAGCCUCGAUGGACAUUCACGGAGGGGGCUUCGACCUCCGGUUCCCCCACCACGACAACGAGCUGGCCCAGUCAGAGGCCUACUUCGACAACGACUGCUGGGUCCGCUAUUUCCUCCACACGGGCCACCUGACCAUCGCGGGCUGCAAGAUGUCCAAGUCGCUCAAGAACUUCAUCACCAUCAAAGACGCCUUGCAGAAGCACUCAGCGCGGCAGCUGCGGCUGGCCUUCCUCAUGCACUCGUGGAAGGACACGCUGGACUACUCGAGCAACACCAUGGAGUCCGCGCUUCAGUACGAGAGGUUCAUGAACGAGUUUUUCUUAAAUGUGAAAGACAUCCUCCGAGCUCCUGUUGACAUAACCGGUCGGUUUGAAAAGUGGGAAGACGAGGAGUCGGAGCUGAACAAGAGCUUUUACGACAAGAAGACGGCGGUGCACGAGGCCCUCUGUGAUAACGUCGACACGCGCACGGUCCUGGAAGAGAUGCGGGCUCUGGUCGGCCAGUGCAACCUCUACAUGGCGGCCCGGAAGGCCGCGAGGAGGAGGCCCAACCGGGCUCUGCUGGAAAGCAUCGCUCGGUACCUCACCCACAUGCUCAAGGUCUUUGGGGCCAUAGAAGAGGAAAGCUCCCUGGGAUUCCCGGUCAGAGGACCUGGGAGCAGCCUAAAUCUCGAGUCCACGGUCAUGCCCUACCUGCAGGUGUUGUCGGACUUCCGAGAAGGCGUGCGCAAGAUCGCCCGAGAGCAGAAAGGUGCGGGCUGGGCCAGCCGGGGACUUGGUGGGCGUGGCGGCUGGGCCAGGCGGCCUUCUGGGAGCGUGAGCUGAUCCGGCCCGGGACCUGGCUGUGAACGACAGAGUGUCCCGGCGCCACCAGCAGGGAUGGCAGCACGUGCCCGCUUCACAGACGUGAACGUCGGCCCCGCCUGGCAGGCGGCUGGUCCCAGGUACCGGCCGACCCGCGGGGGCUGUCACUGCGGCUGAAUGUCCUUCACGGAGGUCAGGUCCUCACGGCGGAGCUCCUGAGCGAGGCGCUCUUCUCCUCCAAGGCAGACGGACUGCUUCUCCCUGCCGCCUCAUCCCCGGCACUGAGCCUCCUGGGAACAGGGCCUCUCUGGCCGCCGGGCUCGCCCUGCGACCGCUGCCGCAGAACCGUAAAGGCCGCCGUCCCCGGCCUGGAGGGAGCGAGCCUGUGGUCAUUGGCUCUGCCUCUGGGACUCACAGAGACUGACACGGAGGUUUGAGAACGUCUGAACCCGCAGGGACCGUCCACUGAGGUCUGAAGGCCACGUCGGUGGCCACCUCACUCCUGCCCACUCCGUCUGCUGGGUCGGGUCCCUGAGGUCCUGCAGCUCAGCGACGCCCUGCGGGACGACAUCCUGCCCGAGCUCGGGGUGCGGCUCGAAGAUCACGAAG